This 421-nucleotide long non-coding RNA is filed under the name Rattus norvegicus (Norway rat). RNAcentral describes it as "long non-coding RNA NONRATT024553". The record is from RNAcentral. Lineage: Eukaryota; Metazoa; Chordata; Mammalia; Rodentia; Muridae.
UUUAGUCUACCUCUCUUCUAGUCCCCACCCUCCCAGGUUCAUGCCACCAAACAGAGCAGUAAAAACUCACUGAAGAUGAGUCUCAGACACAUUUCCUCAGCACAGUUCCUAUUAGUGAUGCCUUCUUUCCCAGCCCAGUACAAGCCUGAAAAUUAGAUUACUGAGUUUCUAAAAAUUCAUAAAUAAUACAUAAAUUGAUUAUCAUCCCAUCUUGUAGGCCCUGGCACAUCUUUGAAGCUCCCUGGCACUAACCAGACAGGAGGACCGACUCAAGCUGUCAGGCCAAUCACUCAAGCUGGAAGACCCAUAACGGGCUUCCUUAGGCCCAGCACACAGAGUGGAAGACCGGGUACAAUGGAGCAGGCCAUCAGAACACCCAGAACGGCCUACACAGCACGACCUAUCACCAGCUCAUCUGGAA